This 483-nucleotide ribosomal RNA is filed under the name uncultured bacterium. RNAcentral describes it as "bacterial SSU rRNA". It matches the Rfam family "Bacterial small subunit ribosomal RNA", at positions 28 to 529 of the family's 1533-position model. The record is from RNAcentral.
GACGAACGCUGGCGGCGUGCUUAACACAUGCAAGUCGAACGGGAGUAUUGAAGAAGCUUGCUUUAGAGAUACUUUAGUGGCGGACGGGUGAGUAACGCGUGAGGAGCUGUCCUAUGCAGGGGGACAACAGUUGGAAACGACUGCUAAUACCCCAUAAGCCGAGAGGUAAAAGGAGCGAUCCGGCAGAGGAGGUACUCGCGUCCUAUCAGCUAGUAGGUGAGGUAACGGCUCACCUAGGCGAAGACGGGUAGCCGGCCUGAGAGGGCGAACGGCCACACUGGAACUGAGAUACGGUCCAGACUCCUACGGGAGGCAGCAGUGGGGAAUAUUGGGCAAUGGGGGCAACCCUGACCCAGCGACGCCGCGUGGGUGAAGAAAUCCCUCGGGAUGUAAAGCCCUGUUGUAUGGGAAGAGCAGAAGACGGUACCAUACGAGGAAAGCCCCGGCAAACUACGUGCCAGCAGCCGCGUAAUCAUACUCGUA